This is a non-coding RNA of Triticum urartu, 503 nucleotides long. The record is from RefSeq and is a predicted model, not a curated record. Lineage: Eukaryota; Viridiplantae; Streptophyta; Magnoliopsida; Poales; Poaceae.
CAUUUUCCCCUUCCCAUCGCUUGUUCUCUUCCUCUGCAUCUCGUCGACACUGUCGUCGCCGUGCACUGCUCGAUCCCACGGCCACUGGCACCCCCGAGCGCCGAGACCUUGACUACAAGGUGCACCGCCCACUUCUUCUUCCUCCUGGACCACCAGCUAGAGCCGGGAAGCUCUCCUCCGCCGGAUCGCCUCGCUCCACCAUCGUGGGCAUCGCCGCUGCCGCUGCCUCGACCUGCAACAUCGGCGCCCCCCAACCUCUCCAAGCACGCCCCGACCUCACUACACCGAGACCGACGCCGCUGCUACCCAGUACGACUACGGUGUUGACGACCCCUCUCUCUUGCCAGAGCAACCAGACGUUGGAGUCCAAGAGCUAGAUGCCACCAUUGACGAUGACUCCUACUACACUGGAGGUGCCUACCACUACGUGCAGCCCGCUGUCGAUGACCAGGAGUAGUUUAGGAGGAUCCCAGGCAGGAGGCCUGCGCCUCUUUCAAUCUGUA